Molecule: ribosomal RNA, 260 nt
Filed under: uncultured Staphylococcus sp.
Lineage: Bacteria; Bacillati; Bacillota; Bacilli; Caryophanales; Staphylococcaceae
Description: partial 16S ribosomal RNA
Rfam family: Bacterial small subunit ribosomal RNA
Source: RNAcentral
CGGGUGAGUAACACGUGGAUAACCUACCUAUAAGACUGGGAUAACUUCGGGAAACCGGAGCUAAUACCGGAUAAUAUAUUGAACCGCAUGGUUCNAAUGGUGAAAGACGGUUUUGCUGUCACUUAUAGAUGGAUCCGCGCCGCAUUAGCUAGUUGAUAAGGUAACGGCUUACCAAGGCAACGAUGCGUAGCCGACCUGAGAGGGUGAUCGGCCACACUGGAACUGAGACACGGUCCAGACUCCUACGGGAGGCAGCAGGU